UAUAUAUAAUGAUAUAAAUUAGUAAAAAUAUCAAUACAUAUAAAGGAACUCGGCAAAUAUUUACUUAGACUGUUUAACAAAAACAUAACUUAUAGUUUUUAUUAUAAGCUUAACCUGCUCAGUGAUUAUAAUUUAACAGCCGCAGUACACUGACUGUGCUAAGGUAGCAUAAUCAAUUGGUCUUUAAUUGGGAUCGGGUAUGAAUGGAUUUACUAUGUAAGACUGUCUUAUUGAAGUAUAUUAUGAACUUGCUUAAAGGGUGAAAAUUCCCUUAAAUUUAAUAAAAGACGAGAAGACCCUUAGACUUUUUUAAAUUUAAAACUAUGUUUUUAUUUAUUUUGUUGGGGCAACAAUGUUUCAAUUUUAAACAAACAGUAAAAAAAAUUUUAUAUGAAAAUAUAUUUUAAGAAAAAUUAAAGUACCUGAGGGAUAACAGCAUAAUUAAUUAUUUAGAUUGUGACCUCGAUGUUGGACUAGGUAAUAAAUUGUCAAGAAGAUAUUUUAUUUAGUUCUGUUCGAACUAUGCUCACCUA
RNAcentral lists this ribosomal RNA (533 nucleotides) under Prestonella bowkeri. Its description in RNAcentral is "partial 16S ribosomal RNA". The stretch from base 67 to 215 matches the Rfam family "Archaeal large subunit ribosomal RNA", at positions 1889 to 2084 of the family's 2987-position model. Lineage: Eukaryota; Metazoa; Mollusca; Gastropoda; Stylommatophora; Bulimulidae. The record is from RNAcentral.